Molecule: long non-coding RNA, 381 nt
Organism: Mytilus trossulus (common blue mussel)
Lineage: Eukaryota; Metazoa; Mollusca; Bivalvia; Mytilida; Mytilidae
Exons: 2
Source: RefSeq, a predicted model, not a curated record
AUCGACUUGUCCGGAUCUGAUAUCACCGAAACCGGACAUUGACUUAUAGUGCGACUGUCAACUUCCUGUGGUGAGUACUUUGAUCAUUGCAGAAUAACCAGAGAGCUUGAUGAAGACAGACGUCUAACCCUCAACUCGUAUCUGCCAUUUGCCAUACACGUACUUGGAUAACUCAAGAGAGAAGGGGGAAGAAUGUUGUAAUCGACUUGUCCGGAUCUGAUAUCACCGAAACCGGACAUUAACUUAUAGUGCGACUGUCAACUUCCUGUGGUGAGUACUUUGAUCAUUGCAGAAUAACCAGAGAGCUUGAUGAAGACAGACGUCUAACCCUCAACUCGUAUCUGCCAUUUGCCAUACACGUACUUGGAUAACUCAAGGUAA